GAAGAAGCAAAAUGAUGACAAAUAUUUUCUUGAACCCUGAAAAAGUAACCUUGUGUGUGACUGAGUGGAGAUGGACGAGUGCAGGUGUGUUUGAGUGAGAGUUGUGAUUUGUGGAAUUCACAAUUUGGGUCAUGAGAGCCAAACUGAUAAGAUCUGACUGCUUC
This is a non-coding RNA of Podarcis lilfordi (Lilford's wall lizard), 164 nucleotides long. NCBI's taxonomy places the organism in Eukaryota, Metazoa, Chordata, Lepidosauria, Squamata, Lacertidae. The record is from the annotation of a GenBank genome assembly.